This 428-nucleotide ribosomal RNA is filed under the name uncultured bacterium. RNAcentral's name for it is "bacterial SSU rRNA". It matches the Rfam family "Bacterial small subunit ribosomal RNA", at positions 355 to 775 of the family's 1533-position model. The record is from RNAcentral.
UGGGGAAUUUUGGACAAUGGACGCAAGUCUGAUCCAGCAAUGCCGCGUGCAGGACGAAGGCCUUCGGGUUGUAAACUGCUUUUGUACAGAACGAAAGGGCUCUGGUUAAUACCUGGGGCAGAUGACGGUACUGUAAGAAUAAGCACCGGCUAACUACGUGCCAGCAGCCGCGGUAAUACGUAGGGUGCGAGCGUUAAUCGGAAUUACUGGGCGUAAAGCGUGCGCAGGCGGUUUUGUAAGACCGAUGUGAAAUCCCCGGGCUCAACCUGGGAACUGCAUUGGUGACUGCAAGGCUGGAGUGCGGCAGAGGGGGAUGGAAUUCCGCGUGUAGCAGUGAAAUGCGUAGAUAUGCGGAGGAACACCGAUGGCGAAGGCAAUCCCCUGGGCCUGCACUGACGCUCAUGCACGAAAGCGUGGGGAGCAAACAG